Small nuclear RNA from Onychomys torridus (southern grasshopper mouse), 106 nucleotides. The record is from RefSeq and is a predicted model, not a curated record. Lineage: Eukaryota; Metazoa; Chordata; Mammalia; Rodentia; Cricetidae.
AUGCUCGCUUUGGCAGCACCCAGGCUAAGAUUGGAAGGAUACAGAGAAGAUUAGCAUGGCCCUGUGCAAGGACUACAUGCAAAUUUGUGAAGCGUUCCAUAUUUUU